RNAcentral lists this transfer RNA (65 nucleotides) under Marmota monax (woodchuck). Its description in RNAcentral is "tRNA.Ala". The stretch from base 5 to 61 matches the Rfam family "tRNA", at positions 8 to 63 of the family's 71-position model. From Rfam's summary of the family: Transfer RNA (tRNA) molecules are approximately 80 nucleotides in length. The record is from RNAcentral. Lineage: Eukaryota; Metazoa; Chordata; Mammalia; Rodentia; Sciuridae.
GAUGUAGCUGAGUGGUACAGCGUUUGUCUAGCAUGCAUAAGGCCCUGAGUUCAAUCCCCAGUGCA